CACGUAGGGUGCGAGCGUUGUCCGGAAUUAUUGGGCGUAAAGAGCUCGUAGGCGGUGUGUCGCGUCGGCCGUGAAAACCUGCAGCUUAACUGUGGGCGUGCGGUCGAUACGGGCAUCACUGGAGUUCGGCAGGGGAGACUGGAAUUCCUGGUGUAGCGGUGAAAUGCGCAGAUAUCAGGAGGAACACCAGUGGCGAAGGCGGCUCACUGGACCGGUUCUGACGCUGAGGCGCGAAAGCGUGGGGAGCAAACGGG
RNAcentral lists this ribosomal RNA (254 nucleotides) under uncultured bacterium. RNAcentral's name for it is "partial 16S ribosomal RNA". It matches the Rfam family "Bacterial small subunit ribosomal RNA", at positions 524 to 776 of the family's 1533-position model. The record is from RNAcentral.